UAUAUAUAUAUAUUAAAAAAUAUAUAAAUAUAAUAUAUUUUAAUUAUAUAUAGGCUAAGUGAAUAAUCUGAGUUUAAUUAAAAUUGGGUUAAUAUUGUUGGCCCAUAAAAACAAACCCAAUAGACAAAUAAGAGAGCAAAAUUUUACUAAAUUUAUACAUUUUUUUUUUCUUUUUUUCAUAGAGCUCUAAAUUUUCAAUAUGUUUCUCUCUUUCUCUUUUUCUGUCUCUCACCUUACGUGGUCAAGCCGGAAGCCUUCCAAGUUACCAAGUCCUGUCGUUGCCUAUCUUGCUAUUAAUUGUAUACUUGAGAAAAUAUACAGAAUAUUUUUAAAGUAAAAAAUUAUUAUUUAUAUAAAAUUUUAAUUUUAGUUAUAUAUGAUUGAAUAGUUUAAUCCAAUAUUUAUCUAUAUAAUUUAUUUAUUUUUGA
Molecule: long non-coding RNA, 428 nt
Filed under: Ananas comosus (pineapple)
Lineage: Eukaryota; Viridiplantae; Streptophyta; Magnoliopsida; Poales; Bromeliaceae
Description: long non-coding RNA (ACOM_LNC037093)
Source: RNAcentral